Sander lucioperca (pikeperch) is the source of this 401-nucleotide long non-coding RNA. RefSeq lists it as uncharacterized. Lineage: Eukaryota; Metazoa; Chordata; Actinopteri; Perciformes; Percidae. The record is from RefSeq and is a predicted model, not a curated record. The transcript is spliced from 2 exons.
GUGGUGUGUGUGUGUGUGUGUGUGUGUGUGUGUAUGUGUGAGACUGCUGUGUUUUUCCCCUCGAUAGUUUCAGAAGGACUUUAGGAUCACAUGUUGUUUAGUUCAGUCUCACAGAGGCACUAUUGAGGCGCCGUUGUGUUUUGUUGCACUGUUACAGUGUUUGGAACAAGUAACACCUAAACAUGGACUCGAGGGGGUAUAAUUGGAAAAACAGCAUGUUUUCCACAUCUGACAUGGUUGUGUUUUUCACCCAAGGGCACACAGAGCAAUGAUGACAUUUCCUUUCAUAGCUAGCAUAGGAGAGGAACAGUAUUUCACAGAUAGUCGGCAUAAUGGAAGAAUCACUUUCUUAACAUGUUCCAGAGGUAAAUAUUAGAAUGCAGUGGAAAUGAAUGAAAUCA